GAUGAACGCUGGCGGCGUGCCUAAUACAUGCAAGUCGAGCGAACGGACGAGAAUCUUGCUUCUCUGAUGUUAGCGGCGGGCGGGUGAGUAACACGUGGAUAACCUCCCUAUCAGACUGGUAUAACUUCGGGAAACCGUCGCUAAUACCGGAUAAUAUUUUGCACCGCAUUGUUCAAAAGUGAAAGACGGUCUUUCUGUCACUUCUCGAUGCAUCCGCGCUGCAUUGGCUGGUUGGUAAGGUAACGGCUUACCAAGGCAACGAUGCGUAGCCGAACUGAGAGGGUGAUAGGCCACACUGGAACUGGGACACGGUCAAGACUCCUAAGGGAGGCAGCAGUAGGGAAUCUUACGCAGAGGGCGAAAGCCUGACGGAGCAACGCGGCGUGAGUGAUGAAGGUCUUCGGAGCGUAAAAAUCUGUUAUGAGGGAAGAACAGAUGUGUAAGGAACUGUGCACAUCGUGACGGUACCUAAUAAGAAAGCCACGGCUAACUACGUG
Molecule: ribosomal RNA, 497 nt
Filed under: uncultured bacterium
Lineage: Bacteria
Description: partial 16S ribosomal RNA
Rfam family: Bacterial small subunit ribosomal RNA
Source: RNAcentral